This is a long non-coding RNA of Drosophila sechellia, 761 nucleotides long. RefSeq lists it as uncharacterized. Lineage: Eukaryota; Metazoa; Arthropoda; Insecta; Diptera; Drosophilidae. The record is from RefSeq and is a predicted model, not a curated record. The transcript is spliced from 3 exons.
GAUCGCAAAAACAGCAAUAUCAAUUCAACUUCUGAAUCCAGAGCCUAUCACUUGGAUUCUUAUAGAUACUUUUGUAUCUCAUUUCUUGAAUCGAUUUGUUUGGAUUUUUCAGCUGAUGAAAUAUGCCUUACUAAAGUGUAAUGCGAUAUAGCUUAGUUGGCAUUAUAAACGGGGAAAAUUGAAACUUCAGCGGAUAUAUUUUACUCGGCUUUUAUCAGCUGGCGAUAAAAGCAUACCAGGAAUACCUGAAUUCCCAUUUCGGAAUUAAUCAGAACUGCCAAUCAUAGCUUUGAUUCAUCAUAGAUAAACAAACUUCAAAUUGCAUUUAUUUUUGUAACUUCCAAGGACCCACUCAAAUGCAAUAAUGAUAUACUCCUUAAAGAUACCAGGCAACAAGAAAGGUCUGCAAAUUCGAUUAAAUUAAAUUUUAGCGACACAUAAUGGAAAUUCUGGACAGGAGAGGAAAAUAACCAACUGACGCACGGAGUUACAUGUGUAUAUUUGUUAUUUAUCCAGUAGCUGGCUGUGGCAGAAAAUCACGACCAUGUCCUUGAAUACGAAAUUGCGACCCAACUUGCAGAGGGAACGCCAAGGAUACGUAGGGAGCAGCAAGGAUAACAGCCCGAUCCCACGCUCUGUUUAACACCCUCAACAGCCACGACAAAAGCACAAAUUGUUUAUACGUACAAACAGCUGCGGUCAAGAUAAUAGCACAGGAAGUGACCAGAUUCAGGAUAUAAAUAAAAAUAGUUCUUAUUCAA